RNAcentral lists this ribosomal RNA (458 nucleotides) under uncultured bacterium. RNAcentral's name for it is "partial 16S ribosomal RNA". It matches the Rfam family "Bacterial small subunit ribosomal RNA", at positions 338 to 795 of the family's 1533-position model. The record is from RNAcentral.
CCUACGGGAGGCAGCAGUGGGGAAUAUUGCACAAUGGGCGCAAGCCUGAUGCAGCGACGCCGCGUGCGGGAUGGAGGCCUUCGGGUUGUAAACCGCUUUUGUUCAAGGGCAAGGCACGGUCUUUGGCCGUGUUGAGUGGAUUGUUCGAAUAAGCACCGGCUAACUACGUGCCAGCAGCCGCGGUAAUACGUAGGGUGCAAGCGUUAUCCGGAUUUAUUGGGCGUAAAGGGCUCGUAGGCGGUUCGUCGCGUCCGGUGUGAAAGUCCAUCGCUUAACGGUGGAUCCGCGCCGGGUACGGGCGGGCUUGAGUGCGGUAGGGGAGACUGGAAUUCCCGGUGUAACGGUGGAAUGUGUAGAUAUCACGAAGAACCCCGAUUGCGAAGGCCGCCUGCCGCAGCGUUACUGACGCUGAAGCUCGAAAGCGCGGGUAUCGAACAGGAUUAGAUACCCUGGUAGUC